This 465-nucleotide ribosomal RNA is filed under the name uncultured bacterium. RNAcentral's name for it is "partial 16S ribosomal RNA". It matches the Rfam family "Bacterial small subunit ribosomal RNA", at positions 338 to 795 of the family's 1533-position model. The record is from RNAcentral.
CCUACGGGGGACAGCAGUGGGGAAUAUUGCGCAAUGGGCGAAAGCCUGACGCAGCGACGCCGCGUGAGGGAUGAAGGUCUUCGGAUCGUAAACCACUGUCAGCAGGGAAGAACGGGCACUGUGCUAAUCAGCAGUGAAUUGACGGUACCUGCAAAGGAAGCACCGGCUAACUCCGUGCCAGCAGCCGCGGUAAUACGGAGGGUGCGAGCGUUAAUCGGAAUUACUGGGCGUAAAGCGCGCGUAGGCGGUAUGUCAAGUCAAGGGUGAAAUCCCCGCGCUUAACGUGGGAACUGCCUUUGAAACUGGCAAGCUGGAGUGUGUGAGAGGGUAGUGGAAUUCCAGGUGUAGGAGUGAAAUGCGUAGAUAUGUGGAGGAACAUCAGUGGCGAAGGCGACUAUCUGGCACAUAACUGACGCUGAGGAGCGAAAGCGUGGGUAGCAAACAGGAUUAGAUACCCGGGUAGUC